UUCUUUGUAUUUUUGUGGAGUUCUGAACUGAUUCAGGGUUGUAAAACCCUGUAAAUCAUUCGAUCCAGUAAUACCACUAGUGGUGCUGUAUCGCAAAGAAAUAAUAAAAAAAGUAGAAAGGACCUAUGUAAGAGAGGAAUUGGACUUAAUCUGCCAGAAGAACAGAAAGAAGCAGAUCUGACAAGCUAGAAAAUUCUGCAGAAACGGGAAGGGCUGGAAGGAGAGAGAAUUCUGGGGAAGCAGAGGAGGUGAGCUAGUCUGGACAGUUGGAAAGAGUCUUCUCCUCUAUGAGAAGUUACCAGCAAGGUGGACUGGUUGGAUCUCUGAGCCAGCAUGCAUCACCCCCUCUCAAAGCUUGACCCAAUACUCCAAGAAGACAAUCAAAUGAUUAGGACUUCAACUGAAACUGUUCACUAGAAGAAAGAUUUUCUCCAGAUCCCCUAAAGUCCUGAACUGGUUACAGUUGCCAAGGCAGUUAGAGCCAGAACUUCUUCAUUAACUGACCCAAGGGGGGCAUAACAACAAAGUCUCAUCUGCCAGACUUUUGGAAGAAGGUGUUUCAGUUAUUCUAGGGACCCCAUGCUGCCUCUUCCUUCUGCCUCAUUCCUAAUCUAAUCUGUCCUAUCCCUUGCCUUGUUCCCUUAGAAUAAAAGUUUAAUAAGAACAAGUGACUGACUCCAUCACAUCUAGAGAGAGACUUGAAGUUGGGGGAAGGGAAGUGACAUUCCUCCCCUCAAGGAGAAAGAAGCUAACUGUAUCAAGCUUGUUGGUUAGCCAAUGUCUCUGAGUGGCAAAGGGGAUAUGGAAAUUGAGGGGAUGUCCAUCAACUGGGUGAACAAAUUGUGGUACAUGUUGGUAACGGAAUAUUAUUAUGCUAUAAGAAAUGAUAAAGAAAAUGAUUUCAGAAAAAUAUGGAAAGAUCUGCAGAAACUGAUGCAGUGUGAAAUAAGUAGAAUGAGGAGAACACUGUACACAAUAACAGCAAUGUUGAACAUUGGUUAUCUGUGAAAACUUGGCUACUCUCAGCAAUGCAAUGUUGCCACAAUCCUGAAAGGGAAUGCUAUUCACCUGAAGAGAAAGAACUGUUGAUGUCUUCUUUCAUAUCAGUAUAUUUUAUUUUGUGGUUUUGGUUAUGUAUGACUUUGCUCUUACAACAAUGACCAAUAUGGAAGUGUGUUUUAUGUGACAAUAAAAUUGAGAUAAACAAAAC
Molecule: long non-coding RNA, 1210 nt
Filed under: Monodelphis domestica (gray short-tailed opossum)
Lineage: Eukaryota; Metazoa; Chordata; Mammalia; Didelphimorphia; Didelphidae
Description: lncRNA (ENSMODG00000029859.2)
Source: RNAcentral